RNAcentral lists this ribosomal RNA (392 nucleotides) under Pierrecomperia sp. Its description in RNAcentral is "partial small subunit ribosomal RNA". It matches the Rfam family "Eukaryotic small subunit ribosomal RNA", at positions 582 to 975 of the family's 1831-position model. Lineage: Eukaryota; Bacillariophyta; Thalassiosirophyceae; Cymatosirales; Cymatosiraceae. The record is from RNAcentral.
AUUCCAGCUCCAAUAGCGUAUAUUAAAGUUGUUGCAGUUAAAAAGCUCGUAGUUGGAUUUCUGGUGGGAGCGACCGGUCCGACGCUUAGCGUGGGUACUUGUGUCGUCUCCGGCCAUCCUUGGGGAGAGUCUGUCUGGCAUUAAGUUGUCGGGCAGAGGAUCCUCAUCGUUUACUGUGAAAAAAUUAGAGUGUUCAAAGCAGGCUUAUGCCGUUGAAUAUAUUAGCAUGGAAUAAUAAGAUAGGACUUUGGUACUAUUUUGUUGGUUUGCGCACCAAAGUAAUGAUUAAUAGGGACAGUUGGGGGUAUUCGUAUUCCGUUGUCAGAGGUGAAAUUCUUGGAUUUACGGAAGACGAACUACUGCGAAAGCAUUUACCAAGGAUGUUUUCAUUA